GUGCUUUCAAUCAGCAGCUGAUUGCUACUCUUGUUUCCCACCUGGCUCCCUGCCCCUGAAGGGUUCAAUCCUUUAUGCUACAAGCUGCUUCAAAACGCUUCAGUGACAAGACCCCGACAGAAAACACAAACAAAAACAAACAGCACAAAAUGGAGCAUAAACAUACAAGGCUGCCAAGAGACGCUCAUCCAGGAUGUUUUCCUCUGGUUCCCAUGUGCUGUACCUACAAAGACAGAUGACUGCGUGAGGACGAGGAAGGGCAAUAAAUGCAGACACGUGUGCUGCCACGGGAGACACGGGCGUGGACGUGCAUUGCGGUGGCUGCCGUGGAAACGUGCGCAACCACCAUUUUGACGAUUUCCCGGUUGGUGCUUUCACAUCACACACACAUAUACGCACACGUCCAUAUUUGGUAUAGACGCGACGUGCAUGUGAGAAGCCGCAAUGGCGCCUGACGCAAUGUUGUAGCGCCUAAAGAAGAGAGAGACUGAGACAGAGCGCCAUUGGCUGCGUGGUUUCUGGGCAACUGCAUGCUGCACACUGCGCUAUACUUGCACCAAGCUUGCAGCAGGCGACAUUUUCUAUUUGCAGCUCGCAUUUUGUCCAUGGUCUCACAAACAAUCGCUAUAUUAGUGUUGAUAUUUUAAGAAUGGGUCGCACUAAGACGCGUUUGUAACAACGUUCAUGCAGCAAGGUGAACUAAAUAAGGUCUUAUAUUCAUGGGGGGUUUUAGUGCAGGUGUAUAAAGGAGUUGCAUACACACCUCUAUCCAUGUUUUUUUUUCUUCUUUGCUGAAGUACAGUAGUACUUUGAGUGCUGGAUUCCUGGCUAAUUUGCAUAUUUAAAUAUCAAAUAUAAAAUGCAUGUCAAGCCGCCCCGACUUUGUAACAUAGUCCUUGCAACAGGCCUCAUGAAGGCUGCUGAUGAUAAAGGCGGAAUGUGAAACAUCACCCUUGUCUAUAAAUAUGUUGGCCUGUUUCACUUUGAUGCAUGGGCUAACUCGCUCACACAUGCAUCCAUUUAGGGCCUGCACGGAAAGUUGGACUGAUCCAUUCUAUCACUCUUUUUUUUUAUAAAUGAUACAAAUGAUGCUCCACUUUUUGCCUUCAUUUACACGUCAUGUGAUCGUUUUAGGUUUGCUUUCUCCUUUUGAGUUUAAGCGCGGGGCGUGGGGACACGUGACCGAGGGAACGAGUCAAAACUGUAAGCAUGUGACCUUGAAGGCAUCAUGUGAGUUGAAAAUCCCCGUCUUGACAAGAUAAAAAGGAAAACAUGUCGUUGACUACCAUUUUAAGGUCUUUAAUGAUUGAUUUCAACCUAUUUUAUUCAUGUUGUUUAGUGUAAAAAAAGUACAUUUUGCAACAAACUGUCUAAAUUGUACUCGCAUGUUUAAACAUAUACCUAUUCAUAUACAGUACUCCAAACAGGUUUUGUGAGAUCCUAUACUGAUGCUUUAUUUUUAGCCAUCAACAAGCUUCUGACAUAAUUCUGGCUGGAUAUUUGACUUCUCUUUGUGGUGGAUUUAGAGUUCAUUUAAUUUGGUUGGUCUACUAGCAUCAUAGAGUUGAAGUUGUUGCAUUGGAGAUGUGUGUUUGGGUUCAUUGUCCUGUGUGGAUGUUUUCAACCUUCACGCUGAGGACUUGGAGGUAGUUCAUGAGCUGCUACAUGUUCUUUGAAAGACGCACCUUGACUCCUUCAAACAGCACAAUCUUUGUCUCUCAACUGACAAUAAAACAUCUAGCUUGUUCUUGUUGGAGGCUUCAGAUUUCAGUCAGUUUCCUUGGUCGAGAUGCCGGGUGUUCUAGCAGUUUCCAGUCCAUG
Molecule: non-coding RNA, 1821 nt
Organism: Doryrhamphus excisus (bluestripe pipefish)
Lineage: Eukaryota; Metazoa; Chordata; Actinopteri; Syngnathiformes; Syngnathidae
Source: RefSeq, a predicted model, not a curated record